Non-coding RNA from Rattus norvegicus (Norway rat), 2940 nucleotides. NCBI's taxonomy places the organism in Eukaryota, Metazoa, Chordata, Mammalia, Rodentia, Muridae. The record is from RefSeq and is a predicted model, not a curated record.
GAAGGCUUAAUUUGGCGCCGGGCCUCAGGACCGAUGACGCACUUCCUGUCUUUGUAGCGGUCAGCUGCCCCGGAGCUGGAAAGUUGUGUGCGACCGGCUCUGCUGACUCUAGGGUUUCCAGGAGAUUUAAAGCCCUUAUUUGAAAAGUAGAGAGGGAACAAUUGCGACGGCGCGAUCUAACCCUGAUUCGGGGCUCAAAGACUGGGUGAUAUCCGCAGGAAGUGGAUCUUCCUGGCUCAAACCCAGUCCUGAGGUACUUGAGACAAUUGUAGUCAUUGAUGAUUAAUUGUACUGGGAGUGGAAUCCAGGACAUCUUAUAGUGGUCAAGCAUUCUACCGCCGAACCGGAUCUCCAGCCCUUAUUUCUAUUUUAUGAUGUUGGAUAUUGAAACCAGGGACAUGCAAAGCACCAUUCUAAUGGUGAGACCAUUCUACUGGUGAGCUGGACUUUUAGCAAUUCUAACUAGCAAUUCUAACACUCGUAUCUCUUAAAUGUAAAAACGAGGUAGCAUAUUUUUUUUGUUUCAUAUAAUUUUCUUUGUUGUAUAAUAAACUACAGGUAUGACAUGUCACUGCCAGUAUAUUUUUAAAAGAAUUAUUAAUAUUUAUUUAUGUGUUUGAGUUUUUCAUUUGAACGUGCGUAUCUGCACAGUGUGCUGCCUGUGCCCACGGAGGCCAGAAAGUUUACAAUACUCUGGAACUAGUGUUACAGACACUUUGUAAGCUGCCACAUGGGUGCUGAGAACGGCUCCCCCCCAAGAACCACUGAGUGAGCUCUCCUCACUUUAAGCAUUUCUACGGACAUUUUCCUGCAUCAUCAUAUUAGGAGCAGGAGCACUCCGGAAUGCUAUCUGACACCUAAUUUACACUCAAAUUCCUUCUUCUAGAUUUCUUUUACAAUUGAUUUAUUCCAACUAGAAUGCAGUUGUAGGCCACUUGUAUGUAGCUUUAAAAUCUCCUUUAGUUGUAACCUCUCUCCUCCCCACUUUCUUCCCGUUCCAUCAGCUUGUGGAAGAGAACAGUCUGAUCUGUAAAUUAUCUUCUUAGUAGAUUUCCUUUGAAUCUACAGGGAAUUUAAGUUAUUCCUCUAUUUCCUUGUAAUCAUGACCCAGUAUAUUUGGGAAUUAGGUUUCAACAUAGGUAAUUGACAUUAUUGUUUUUCUGUUAUUGCUAAGUAUGCCAAAGCUAAUGAGAAAAUGUUUUUAUACUUUUCUGAUUUUUAGUUCACUCUAGGAAGAAUAUGGGAAUACGUCAAAUUGCAGUUGUUUCACUGCCUGACACACUGUGGGUAAAUACUUACGAAGUGAUUUCUUUGUGGAUUACAGAGUUGUAUUUUACAGAAUGUGCCUACUUGGAAUCCUGGUCUCAAGGACUUUCAGCUGGGUCCAGUCAGGACACAUCCUGCUACAGCAUUUGCUUCAUUCUUCCUACCCCCUACCCCUAAGGAUAACUCAACGCCCAUGUACAGCUUGAAGAAGUUAUGGAGGAGUCGUCACCCCAAUUCCCUGGACUUUGGGGGGGCUGAAAAUGGUUAUUCUAAACUAGUUUUUAUGAGGAAUUAAAAAUUAGUUGUAAUUUAACAGGGAGGAAUUAGCUAGAUUGAAUUGUACAGUCAUAAUCUCAUUUGGUAACUAAGCUGAAAUCAUAUCUUUGCUUUGGUAUAGAAUUUAUUUGUCAAAAGAGUUUAAAAGUACAAGGUUUAGAGCCUGUCCUUCUAUUGUUGUCAUUACAAACUUCUGAGUUGCUUACACCUGUGAGUUAAGAUUCAAAUAGCAAAGUCAUGGCUCUGAGUUUGUGACAGUACUUUCAAGAUAAAAUUUAGGAUAUGGAGACAACAGUCCAGAUUGUCUUAUAUAGGGAGAUGCUUUUCAAAAACGUCAGAAAUCCACAAAAUUUGAGAUUUAAGGUUAUUUAUCUUUUGUUGAGACAUAUCUGCUCCUAAAAGUUACCCUUUGGUGGAUUUAAUGAAGAAUGUGAACAUCUCUACCUCCAGGUGAGGCAAUACUUUGUGGCUAGGCAGCCACUACACAAAACUGUUUCAUCUGCAGACUAAUACUGUCCAGAAAAGGACAAAUUAUGCAGAAUAGUUGACUGAUAAACUCUGCCAAGACAGAGUGAUCAGCCCUUCAGAAUCUGCAUUUCAAGAGUCUGUCAGUUGAUUUUGGGCCAGAAGGCUAAAGACUUGUGCUCACAUGUUGCUAACAGGGGACUGUGCUAGUGGAGAUUUGUCUCUACAACCUCUCAGUUCUGGAAGCCGUGUUAGGCUUCCUUUGUGUGUAGAUAUUUGGUCAUUCCCAGAUUUCUGACGGGGUUGAAGAUGUUAAAUAGCCUAUCAGGCUGUUUAACUCUAAAUAUACAUAUUUUAUUGGAUAGUUAUCAGAUAGUAUACAAGCUAGCCAAGAUAUAGAUUUUAAGCCUUUCUUAAGCUGGAAUGGAAUGUUCUGUUUAACUGAUAUAGUAAUGGACUGGGUGUUGAGUAUAUUGUAUGCUUUAUAAAUUGUAAAAUGGUAAUUGUACUCAAUAUAUAAGUGAAAAGGCUUUUUAACUGGGCAAAAAGGGUGAAAUGUUUGCCCUGAAGUUACUGUAUUUUGAUGCUAAUUCCACUGCCCCAAGGACAGUUGCCUAGUCACGUACUCAGGACUCAGGUACAGUACAGGUGAGGGGCAGGUACAGGAUAGAAGGAGGCCUGUCAUUGGAGGAGAAGGAAGGAUGGGCUGGAGAGAAGUUUGAAGGAAGAGGAGGAAACUAAGGGAGAGAGGAGGAGAAGAGGAGACGGAGAGAGGGGAGAAGCCAUGGCAGGUGAUGUUAAGAUUCUGCUCUGUGAAAAAUGCUAUGUUCAGAAUUAUAGACAGUGUUGAAAAAUACAACACUACUUUAUGUUUAUAUCUGAAAUGUAUACAAUGUACAUGAGAAUAAAGUUGACUAUUGACUGAAAAAAAAA